Long non-coding RNA from Suricata suricatta (meerkat), 507 nucleotides. RefSeq lists it as uncharacterized. The transcript is spliced from 3 exons. Lineage: Eukaryota; Metazoa; Chordata; Mammalia; Carnivora; Herpestidae. The record is from RefSeq and is a predicted model, not a curated record.
AGAGUAAAAGUGAACUGACUAUUCUUAGCCUAGUUUCUAGGAUAAUUAUCUCUCUUUACUGCAUCUUUCCUCUCCAGGUUGCGUGGCAAUUAAUAUUUAGUUGUGUACUUUCCUCUCUGUGUCUCUUAAGGGAAGUCGUAGCACCUUUUCAAAAGAAGGAAAGAAGAGGAUUUCAUGAGAGGCUAAUCUGAAACUGAACUCACCGUGCCUGGCAGGUGACAAGUAGAACCUUCAGAAGCCUUAUCUGACCACUUCAUCUACCAGCAACAAACAAGGCGAAUCUGUGACCAUCAUGGAGCAAGGCAGAAAACAAGAUGACUCUAAAGUUCAGCACAAACCAAACCAUAAACGUAACAAAGUGUCCACCUCUCCAGCUCAAAGAAAUGACUGCUUCUUUACCAAUUACAGCCUGAAUCCUUUUGUGCCCCUCACCUCAGAGUGAUAAAAAUUAUUAAGGUAUAAUAGGAUCACUCCUGCUCUAGUACCCAAUAAAGGAAAACCACACUA